CUCCUGACCUGGUGAUCCACCUGCCUCGGCCUCCCAAAGUGCUGGGAUUACAGGUGCGAGCCACCACGUCCGGCCCUUUAGGCACUUUCUACUUCUCAAGGUCAAGAAAUAUCCUUUUAAAAAGUUAAUUCCCUUUUCUGGAGCCUAAGCCAGAUCUUAUCUAGGCCUUGUGUUGCCAUCUGUUGGCAUUGAUUUCUGGAAUGGAGCAGCUUUCUCAAAGUUUGGUCUUGCUAGUCAUGAGGUCAUGUCAGUGUCUUAGGUCACUGCUGCUCACCUUCCUUACCCAGGGAGCAUACUGCAUAGGUUUCUGAACACCUGUUUUCAUUAUCCACUGUCCUCUCAUUGCCAAGAAUGGAGGGACCCUCAGUUGAAAAUCAAAUUGACUCUGAAGAAAAACUGGAGAGAGAUGUUUCUCUUGGAGUUUGGAUAGAGUAUUCACUUGAUAACGUUUUUGCCCUGCCUUGCUCUUCACAAGAACAUCUGGCCAGGCAUUAACAAUUAGUAAAUUUUUUUGCAUAUGAACAGUAUUUUUUUUCUGGUGAUGUAGAUGGGUGCACAGGACACUAAACAAUGCUGUUUAGUGUCAUUAUAUCCCUCUUAACUGGUGGGAUGUAUUUGGGGUGGAGGCUAUAGCCAAUGAGAAGAGGUUCACCUCUGUACCCGAGAAACUUUGUGUAGGAAUUUAUUUUUUUACUAUUAGCACAAUGCUAUAAUUGAGCUAAUCUUUGUAGUUUGGUGCAGGACCACCAAAUUUGUGUGACCCAUUACCUACUUUUUCCAUGCUCAGUCAUUACCGUGUCCUGGGGCAUCUGAGGGCAGUAAGGAACAGGUGUCCAAAGGAGGAAUGUUGGUGCCUAUGUUUUCCAGUUGUAUCGAAUUUCUUACUUGGUGUAUUUUUGACUUGUCUUAGUUUCUUUCCUUGUGGUCUAUGCUAUUUUACUUGGGAUUUGUUGGAUAUUCUCCCCUGUCAUUAAAGAGUUGUAAAAUGGAAGUUAGUAUUUCUAUGCAAAUGCUUUAAUGGAUGAAGCUGAUAGGUUUAGCAUUGAUUUUUGCCGGUGUCCUUCAACAAGCAUGAAGGUGAUAAAUGUGUUUCCAUGGCUUUAGACUCAUUUUUGAAGUCUUGGAUUGUGUGAACAUUCUUAGAAACAAUAAAAUGUUUUAAUUAAAAGCCCUUGACUACCAGUUGAACUCAGUGUCUACUAGGAAAAUGGGUAGAUUUGUUACAUUGUCCCUUUGCUCUCUAUGACUUUGUUCCAGUUGUCAAGGAACUUAAAUGGGUAUUCAGGAAAAAGAAUUCUUGUUUCCCUUUCCUCACCUUGCCAGUUAAAUAACUCCUGGUGAUACUUCAGGUGGUAGAAUUGAAACACAAACCUGACUUCUGACCACAUGGGUCAAAGGAAAAGGCAAAUGGCUUCAAAGCCCUUAGUGUGCUGGACAGUUCAGGCGGUGAGGAGGUAACUUCUGCUUUCCUCCCUGAGGAGUUUGGAGUAUUUAAGGGGGGAUGGUGGGGGGGUGUCACUUUGAAAAUGUUGCUUUUUCUCCUGAUUGUAUUGAGGCUGAUAUGGAAGGGUUAUUUCUUUCUGGCCAAUACUUUUUGGUAUUUCUAAAUAUUGCAAUCUUGAUUUUUACUAUUAAAUUUGUUAAUUGUCAGUUCUGGUUUUUUUGCAUAAAGAGUUGGUCCAUUAACUUGCCAAUUUGAAGCUUCUAACUAGAUAUUCCCUACUGAAAGUUUUGGAUUUGUUUUUAGUUUGUGGAGCAGUCUUAGCUGGGGACAGGUAAUUGACAACGGCAGAGAUACUUUCUUUUCCUAGGAUUCUAAGUCUGUAAUCCAUAUCCUCCAUGUAUUCACAGGACUUUAAAAUUCUCUCCAAACGAGGAAGGAAAUAUCCUGUUGCUUUCUAAUGUUUACUAAAAGUUGUGUUUAGAACAACAGAUUUUAAUAGGCAUCUUCCUUUGUUACUUGUCAUUAGCCCUUUGCCCAUUUACCUUAGGGCUCUUUGAAGGAGAAAUGGAUGGGAGAAAACCUGUCACUUGGUGAAAGUAAAGGGAAUAAUUAACUGGCUCAGAGCUUAUGUGCAGAGUUCCCAGCCCCAAAGUUAAUCUAGAACCACUCGAUAACACCAAUAAAAAUAUUUAUUUCCCAUCUGUUAUAUUUCUGGAAAAUGUUCUAAGCAUCUUACAUAUAUUUCUCAUUAAAUCCACAGGUGGCCAUUGUGAGGUAGAUAUUUUGUUCUAAUUUUCCAGAUGAGGAAGCUGAGACCCUAAAAGUUUAGGUGACAGGUUAUAUAACUUGGAGUGUGGGAGGAGAGAGGAACCUGAACAGGGCCAGUUGGGGAUCUGACUUUUGUUUGGGUAGAUGUAGGCACAUUGUAUUUUUGGCUUAGGUGCUUUAUUCAUCAUGGGUGAAGGUAAUACCAUUUACUCACUCACCGAAAAUUGUUUACAAUAAUCAAGAUGAAUUUACUGUCUUUGGACAUCUGUCUUUUGACUGGACCCCAGUAUAUAGUCUGUGGAAGCUCACUUAAGGAGAGAGCUCCUUUUUUGUUUGGUUAGAGAAAUUGUCUGUCCUAAAAGUAGAAAUAGCCCCUUCUAGGUAGGGAUGGAGCAUUUGAUCAUACUGGUUUCGUUAUAUUCCUCUAACAGUUGGAACCGAUUGUUUUUGAGUACUUGUUUCAAACUUCUGAAUAUUUUCCUUCUGGAAAAUAGCUCAGUGUUUAAAAUUUAUAUGAACUUAAAAGGUUAAUUUUUUUUUAAAGAAUGUUUGAGGAGCAAUCAACAAUUCUGAUUUUGUCUUAUAGAUAGAAAUAGAAUUAGCCAUUUUCCUCAAGAAAAGUGAUUCUUCUGAAUCUUAGCUCUUCAGUAAUGAGAACUGGACUGUUUUCACUUGACCUCUAUUUCCUGUUAGUGGGAAACCCCUCCCCAGAGGUGCUGUGUGAAAGAUUGCUGGGGAAAGGGUUUCUAGAUCCCAGCGUAACAAGUUCAAAAGAGUCUAGCGAGAUUGUCAUUAGAAUAAUGGUCUUCAUUAAGUACUAGUUUUCAUAAUCCUGAAGCUUCAUUUUCACCAAUUUGAAAGGCAGUAGCUAGGGAGAAGAAGGCUAUGCAGGGAAGGAGGAAAACUCAGGAGUGCAUCACAGAGACCUUGAGUGAGUUAAGGCAGGGAAGAAGCAGAUUUGCUAUCCACUGAAUGAAAAUAAAAAGAAUUCCAUUGUCCAAGGCCAGAGCAAGAACACAAAGGUUUUAGUUUACUUAGUUAAUUCCUUAGGUUUGGACAUUACAGGAGACAUGGGGGUCACCCAUAGCAGUUUAGCUGAUAAAUGUAUCAGAAACUCUUUCAUCAUUUUCUGUCCCCUCCUAUCUUAGGCUGACCGGUUCCCUGAUGUGUUACCUGCUUCUACUGAUCCAAACUGCAGAACUUCUCAUUCAUCCCCAAGGCCUCCAGGCAGUAUCCAAUGGGGAAUCAGCUCUAAAAGGAACCAGACCAACGUUUUCCAGCCCCUUCAUUCUGUAGCUACCCUCUGUGUGAGGAAAGGAUAGAAAUGUUCAGGACAUCAUCAUACAGGCUCCUCAUCUACAAAGUUCCAGUAGCAGUGACGCCUACACGGAAGACUUGGAACUGCAAACAGAGGCUGGGGUCACCUCAGUGACAUCUGACGCUGUCCAACCAGAAGUUCGAUUUUUGUUCUGGGGGUGAAGGAGGAAACAGACUGUACUAAAGGACUAAAAUAAUUUCUUGUCUAUACUA
Molecule: long non-coding RNA, 3742 nt
Organism: Nomascus leucogenys (northern white-cheeked gibbon)
Lineage: Eukaryota; Metazoa; Chordata; Mammalia; Primates; Hylobatidae
Exons: 2
Source: RefSeq, a predicted model, not a curated record